RNAcentral lists this ribosomal RNA (1370 nucleotides) under Eurysyllis sp. A PAC-2017. RNAcentral describes it as "SSU rRNA". It matches the Rfam family "Eukaryotic small subunit ribosomal RNA", at positions 470 to 1745 of the family's 1831-position model. The record is from RNAcentral. Lineage: Eukaryota; Metazoa; Annelida; Polychaeta; Phyllodocida; Syllidae.
ACGAAAAAUAACGAUAGACGACUCGGUCGAGGCUGUCUAAUCGGAAUGAGCAUAGUCUAAAGCCUUAACGCGAGGAGCCAGUAGAGGGCAAGUCUGGUGCCAGCAGCCGCGGUAACUCCAGCUCUACAGGCGUAAACGUGAGUUGUUGUAGUUAAAACGCUCGUCGUUGGAUUUGAACCUAGGCCGCGGGCGGGGCGGGUCAAAGUUACCUGCUACUGCAGCGGUCGGUUGCGGGCGAGUUGCACCUCGGCGGAUCCCCUUGGCUGGGCGUCCGCGGGCUCGUCCCGGUUACCUUGAACAAAUGAGGGUGUUCAUGGCAGGCUCGCACACGCCUGGAUAGUCUAGCAUGGAAUAACAGAACUCGACUUCGGUCUUUUUCUGGCUGGUCUCUAGGACAUGGAGGGAUGAUCAAUAAGGACGACCGGAGGCGAUAGUACUCCUGGGCUAGAGGUGAAAUUCUUGGACCCCAGGAUGACUGACCGCAGCGAAAGCAUUCGCCUAGCACGUCCUCAUUAAUCAAGAACGAAAGUUAGAGGAUCGAAGACGAUCAGAUACCGUCCUAGUUCUGACCAUAAACGAUGCCAACAGGCGAUCGGUCGUAAGUACAAUUGCAAACCCUUAUAUAUGACACGGCCGGCAGCCCUCGGGAAACCAAAGUCUUUGGGUUCCGGGGGUAGUAUGGUUGCAAAGCUGAAACUUAAAGGAAUUGACGGAAGGGCACCACCAGGAGUGGAGCUUGCGGCUUAAUUUGACUCAACACGGGGAACCUCACCUGGGCCGGACACCGCGAGGAUUGACAGAUUGAGAGCUCUUUCUUGAUUCGGUGGGUGGUGGUGCAUGGCCGUUCUUAGUUCGUGCAGUGAUCUGUCAGGUUAAUUCCGCUAACGGACGAGACUCUAGCCUGCUAACUAGCGCAGGGGGUGUAAUGAGCCCCCGCAAACACGUUGACACUUCUUAGAGGGACAAGCGGUGUGGCAACCGCACGAGAUUGAGCAAUAACAGGUCUGUGAUGCCCUUAGAUGUCCAGGGCCGCACGCGCGCUACACUGAAAGAGACACAGAGGCAGGCGGGUGCAGCUCCGACAGGGGCUUGCUAAACUCCCAACCUCUAUCGUGCUAGGGACUAGGGAUUGAAACUGUUGCCUCCGAACGAGGAAUUCCCAGUAAAUGCGGGUCAUCAGCCUGCGUUGAUUACGUCCCUGCCCUUUGUACACACCGCCCGUCGCUACCACCGAGCUUGCGUUUUAGUGAGGCUGUUGGAGGCGUCCUGGUCGCCGGCGUGGAGGUAGAGAGGCGGGGUGAGUCGAGGACUCCGGUCCCCGGCCCCCGUCCCUCCCGACACUGUGCCGGCUUCAAGUGGUGCGAGCAAGG